CUGGUAAAUCAAGUACUUUAUCGCGUGUCGACCUCAGGCCAUACUCCCCACCAUUGCGGGGUUUCGUCCCGAGCAUGCAAUGAAGACUACCACAGUGUUGUUGAGCUCGGACGCAACUGCCACUUUGUCUGGUAGCAGUGGUCUGGGGUAUUCGGUCUGGAGGCUUGCGCAUACUUCCAUCCCCAGAGGGUUGCGCAGCCAAUAGUGUUCGUCCAGAAACGUUCCGUCUUCGGCUACUCUGGUUUAGUGCCACUAUUGCUAUCUCUGCCUCAGCCGCCGUCACAGAGUAAGGUUUCCCUAAUGUACUUCGAGGAAGUGUGGGGUAGGUCUUGCCGUUCCACUUCCUCAGACGGUGAGCUGUCUUCGUGUCGCUCAUCUACCAUGUCCAAAGUACGUGGUGGGUAAUAGCCUUAUUUGUCGGAAGAUUG
This is a non-coding RNA of Pelobates cultripes (western spadefoot toad), 428 nucleotides long. The record is from the annotation of a GenBank genome assembly. NCBI's taxonomy places the organism in Eukaryota, Metazoa, Chordata, Amphibia, Anura, Pelobatidae.